CUGAAUUUAAGGCUGUAGGGCUUCUCGAAGCCCUCUCAAGUCCAUGGGCUGCUGGGUUGUAAACAUCAGCUGUACCCAAGUUCCUGUACAAGUCGGGGGCAGGGGAGGCAGGGGUGUUGCAGGGAAGGGCCCAGAUUAAACAAAGCCUGCCACAACCACGCUCAAGGCACCACCACCACCACCCCCCCCGCCGCCCCGCAAAGCCACUGGGGAUCCCACCCACAAGCCAGUGAGCGAGCAGUGCAGAGCCCAGCAGUGUGGGAGCCCAGGGCCAGACUGCUUGGGGCCCAGGAUCCCUGCUGGACACAGCUCUCUGUGUAUCCUGUCACAUCUGGGGAAGUCAGCAGGUGGGAACAUCCAGGAAAAAAUAGAACCCGUGAAGCUGUCUUCCCAGCAGGUAGGUCUGUGAGCUCAGGGAGGGAAAGCCCCAUCUCCUUCCACUGGACACACUGACCUUCUUUAGAAGGUCUCUUUAGACUGGAGUCAGGAGUGUCUAGACCACAGGAAAGCUUUUCCCAUCAGUGAGCAACAUGCUGACAAGCAGGGCUUCGGCUCAGCCCCGUGAAAUCUGAUGACUCAGGAGGACGUGCUGUCUCUCCACAGGCUUGUUUGCUGGGCGCUGGCACUGGGCCCUCUCCGGGCCAGGUGUGAGGCUAGGGAGAGAAGCCAGGCCCAGGCCUUACCCUCAAAGGGUGUACAGUCUAGAAGAGGGCACGGAUGUGGAAACACCUCAGUGUGUCUUCAUGAGAAAACUGAAAAAAGGAAGGAAGUGAGGGCGGCCAACGGAGUGUGAGCCGAAGCCAUGCGUCUCUCCUGUGGGCUGAGGACAUGAAGAAACACAUGUGCCUCGUCUACCUCUCUUUCCCCUGCUGCCGUGAUCACGUGGUCUAGGAGAUGGCGGAAUCCUGGGGACAGAAGGAGCUGGAGUGCCCAGAUCUCCCCUUAGAGGCAGGCUUCUUGC
This 961-nucleotide long non-coding RNA is filed under the name Mustela putorius furo (domestic ferret). Its description in RNAcentral is "lncRNA (ENSMPUG00000027024.1)". The record is from RNAcentral. Lineage: Eukaryota; Metazoa; Chordata; Mammalia; Carnivora; Mustelidae.